UUGAACGCUGGCGGCAUGCUUUACACAUGCAAGUCGAACGGUAGACCCUUUCGGGGGUUGAGAGUGGCGAACGGGUGAGUAAUGCAUCGGAACAUACCCAGUCGUGGGGGAUAACGUAGCGAAAGUUACGCUAAUACCGCAUGAGUCCUGAGGGAGAAAGCGGGGGAUCGCAAGACCUCGCGCGAUUGGAGUGGCCGAUGUCAGAUUAGCUAGUUGGUGGGGUAAAGGCCUACCAAGGCGACGAUCUGUAGCGGGUCUGAGAGGAUGAUCCGCCACACUGGGACUGAGACACGGCCCAGACUCCUACGGGAGGCAGCAGUGGGGAAUUUUGGACAAUGGGCGCAAGCCUGAUCCAGCCAUGCCGCGUGCGGGAUGAAGGCCUUCGGGUUGUAAACUGCUUUUGUACGGAGCGAAAAGGCUCUCUCUAAUAAAGGGGGCUCAUGACGGUACCGUAAGAAUAAGCACCGGCUAACUACGU
RNAcentral lists this ribosomal RNA (478 nucleotides) under uncultured bacterium. RNAcentral describes it as "bacterial SSU rRNA". It matches the Rfam family "Bacterial small subunit ribosomal RNA", at positions 30 to 506 of the family's 1533-position model. The record is from RNAcentral.